AACGUAGGGUGCAAGCGUUGUCCGGAAUUACUGGGUGUAAAGGGAGCGCAGGCGGACCGGCAAGUUGGAAGUGAAAACUAUGGGCUCAACCCAUAAAUUGCUUUCAAAACUGUUGGCCUUGAGUAGUGCAGAGGUAGGUGGAAUUCCCGGUGUAGCGGUGGAAUGCGUAGAUAUCGGGAGGAACACCAGUGGCGAAGGCGACCUACUGGGCACCAACUGACGCUGAGGCUCGAAAGCAUGGGUAGCAAACAGG
This 253-nucleotide ribosomal RNA is filed under the name Gemmiger formicilis. Its description in RNAcentral is "partial 16S ribosomal RNA". It matches the Rfam family "Bacterial small subunit ribosomal RNA", at positions 524 to 776 of the family's 1533-position model. The record is from RNAcentral. Lineage: Bacteria; Bacillati; Bacillota; Clostridia; Eubacteriales; Oscillospiraceae.